UCCGGUUUGGCACCGGCAGUCUCCUAUGAGUCCCCGGCAUUACCCGCUGGCAACAUAGAACAGGGGUUGCGCUCGUUGCGCCACUUAAGGCAACACCUCACGGCACGAGCUGACGACAGCCGUGCAGCACCUGUGCAGGCUCCCGAAGGAGCCCCGGCUUUUCCCAUAAUGUCAAACCCAGGUAAGGUUCUUCGCGUUGCAUCGAAUUAAGCCACAUGCUCCGCCGCUUGUGCGGGCCCCCGUCAAUUCCUUUGAGUUUUAGCCUUGCGGCCGUACUCCCCAGGCGGGGCACUUAAUGCGUUAGCUACGGCACGGAACCCGUUGAUAGAGCCCCACACCUAGUGCCCAACGUUUACGGCGUGGACUAC
RNAcentral lists this unclassified non-coding RNA (368 nucleotides) under uncultured Actinomycetes bacterium. RNAcentral's name for it is "uncultured actinobacterium contains 16S-23S intergenic spacer region". The record is from RNAcentral. Lineage: Bacteria; Bacillati; Actinomycetota; Actinomycetes.